RNAcentral lists this ribosomal RNA (269 nucleotides) under uncultured prokaryote. RNAcentral describes it as "partial 16S ribosomal RNA". It matches the Rfam family "Bacterial small subunit ribosomal RNA", at positions 524 to 792 of the family's 1533-position model. The record is from RNAcentral.
UACGGAGGGGUCGAGCGUUAUUCGGAUUCACUGGGCGUAAAGGGCGCGUAGGCGGGGUCGUGGGUCGGCCGUGAAAUCCACCGGCUCAACCGGUGAACUGCGGUCGAAACUACGACUCUUGAGCUCGGUAGAGGAAGGCGGAAUUCCUGGUGUAGCGGUGGAAUGCGUAGAUAUCAGGAGGAACACCGGUAGCGAAGGCGGCCUUCUGGGCCGUAGCUGACGCUGAGGCGCGAAAGCCGGGGGAGCGAACAGGAUUAGAUACCCGCGUA